GGGUCGACAGAUCGAGAGUGAGUGACAGCGCGCGGGGGCGCCAUGAGUGUGGCGUGGAUGGUGACCGCGGCCGCCGCCGCAGUGCUUGCGUCGUCGGCGUUCAACGCGCUGGUGCGCCUCGUCUUUCGGCCCUACGGCGUCUCCCGGAGGAUGCGUGCGCAGGGCCGGGCUACAGGUUCUUCUCCGGGAACCUCGGGCGAGAUGAGGCUGCCAAAUUGUCCUCCG
This 225-nucleotide long non-coding RNA is filed under the name Setaria italica (foxtail millet). RNAcentral describes it as "long non-coding RNA (SITA_LNC001688)". Lineage: Eukaryota; Viridiplantae; Streptophyta; Magnoliopsida; Poales; Poaceae. The record is from RNAcentral.